AUGUCGUUGUCGGCAUGUUUCAACCGGAUCCACUCCUCCAAGCACAAUAACAUAGAGAGAGCAUGUGGUGCGUGGAAAAUGAAAUCUCAAAUCUUGCUCAAGAUGCCAAACUACUCAAUUAAAACACAAAAGAUGAUUGUUGCGGCUACCAUGACACUACCCAACUAUUUCCACCUCCAUGAGAAAGAGGAUAUUCACUUUCUUCGGUGUGAGAGGGAUCCGGAUUAUGUUCCAACUAUUCUAGACAGAUACAAGAAGUAUGUUAUUUCUCCAAAUGCACCGGAUGCUUCAACAUACGCGGAAACUGGUCCUAACAUGGAUUUGUUUAGGCAUGAACUAGCUACCACCAUUGCUCGUAGUUGGUGA
RNAcentral lists this ribosomal RNA (366 nucleotides) under Triticum aestivum (bread wheat). Its description in RNAcentral is "partial small subunit ribosomal RNA". The record is from RNAcentral. Lineage: Eukaryota; Viridiplantae; Streptophyta; Magnoliopsida; Poales; Poaceae.